UGGUUCUGGCAUCGAUGAAGAACGCAGCGAAAUGCGAUAAGUAAUGUGAAUUGCAGAAUUCAGUGAAUCAUCGAAUCUUUGAACGCACAUUGCGCCCAUUAGUAUUCUAGUGGGCAUGCCUGUUCGAGCGUCAUUUCAACCCUUAAGCCCCAGUUGCUUAGCGUUGGGAGCCUACCGAAUACCCUUCUGUAGCUCCUUAAAGUUAGUGGCGGAGUCGGUUUCACACUCUAGACGUAGUAAUUGUUAUCUCGCCUAUAGAUGAGCCGGUCCCCUGCCGUAAAACCCCCCAAUUUCUAAAGGUUGACCUCGGAUCAGGUAGGAAUACCCGCUGA
RNAcentral lists this unclassified non-coding RNA (332 nucleotides) under uncultured fungus. RNAcentral's name for it is "partial contains 5.8S ribosomal RNA and internal transcribed spacer 2". The stretch from base 1 to 133 matches the Rfam family "5.8S ribosomal RNA", at positions 22 to 154 of the family's 154-position model. The record is from RNAcentral. Lineage: Eukaryota; Fungi.